RNAcentral lists this transfer RNA (303 nucleotides) under uncultured Pelagibacterales bacterium. RNAcentral's name for it is "partial 16S-23S ribosomal RNA intergenic spacer". The stretch from base 197 to 269 matches the Rfam family "tRNA". Lineage: Bacteria; Pseudomonadati; Pseudomonadota; Alphaproteobacteria; Candidatus Pelagibacterales. The record is from RNAcentral.
CCUCCUUUCUAAGGAUGAGUGAAAGAGAAAAAUUUCACUCUAAAUAAUAUACAUCGGUAAUGUUGACCGUCCUCAUUUCUCUUCUUAAAGUAAUGUUUCCUUCUUGUAGGGCCGGUAGCUCAGUUGGUUAGAGCACACCCUUGAUAAGGGUGGGGUCGAAAGUUCGAGUCUUUCUCGGGCCCACCAAAACUUAAAUGGGGGAUUAGCUCAUCUGGGAGAGCGCCUGAUUUGCAUUCAGGAGGUAGCAGGUUCGAUCCCUGUAUCCUCCACCAGGAAACAUUUAGUUAUUCAAACUGUAAAUAA